Molecule: long non-coding RNA, 618 nt
Organism: Eleginops maclovinus (Patagonian blennie)
Lineage: Eukaryota; Metazoa; Chordata; Actinopteri; Perciformes; Eleginopidae
Exons: 3
Source: RefSeq, a predicted model, not a curated record
GGGAGAUACCAUGAUCAAGAAGGUGGUUCACCCAGGGCGAGGCUUGGCCAUUGCACUCCGGUUGAGCUGACCUCUGCGAAUUCCCCAAAUACUUUUCCCUUCCCACUGCCAUCAGCGCCAUCUCGGCCUCCACAGCAGCCAGUGCCCAGGCCGCGGUGCUGGGUGGCCGGCAGGUUCUUGUAUACGGCCCGGCUAUACGGGAUAAAGCACAGACCCAGCUGGAGGUGUCGGGCCAGGCGGCAGUAUGCAGCCAGCGCUAGGACCAGCAGAGGGGUGACCAAGAGGAAGCCCACCACCAGCAGAGCCACGCAGCCACCAUCAGUCAGCAGGUCUGAGCAGUAAGGGGUCGUCCCAUGGGGGCGGACCUGGGGAGAAGAGAAGAAAGACAGCAGACUGAAUGAUAUGUUGUACAAAGUGACAGAGGAAGCCAAACACCACCAUGACAAUGGCCGGAGUCAAAAUGGUCCCGAACACCAGGCCAGCGAGGCAGGCGUUGAUCGCGGCAAUAAUCAGGUUCUGAGCCGUCACCAGCACCGAGCAGGCCCAGCAGUCCAGGGACCCCCGCAGCUCCAUAGGCGCUUCACUGCCCCCGCCACCGAUCUCAGCUGCAGAAUAAGG